GGUUAAGCGACUAAGCGUACACGGUGGAUGCCCUGGCAGUCAGAGGCGAUGAAGGGCGUGCUAAUCUGCGAUAAGCGCCGGUAAGGUGAUAUGAACCGUUAUAACCGGCGAUACCCGAAUGGGGAAACCCAGUGUGAUUCGUCACACUAUCAUUAACUGAAUCCAUAGGUUAAUGAGGCGAACCGGGGGAACUGAAACAUCUAAGUACCCCGAGGAAAAGAAAUCAACCGAGAUUCCCCCAGUAGCGGCGAGCGAACGGGGAGGAGCCCAGAGCCUGAAUCAGCAUGUGUGUUAGUGGAAGCGUCUGGAAAGGCGCGCGAUACAGGGUGACAGCCCCGUACACAAAAGCGCAUGUGCUGUGAGCUCGAUGAGUAGGGCGGGACACGUGGUAUCCUGUCUGAAUAUGGGGGGACCAUCCUCCAAGGCUAAAUACUCCUGACUGACCGAUAGUGAACCAGUACCGUGAGGGAAAGGCGAAAAGAACCCCGGCGAGGGGAGUGAAAAAGAACCUGAAACCGUGUACGUACAAGCAGUGGGAGCCCCACCCUUCGGGGUGUGACUGCGUACCUUUUGUAUAAUGGGUCAGCGACUUAUAUUCUGUAGCAAGGUUAACCGUAUAGGGGAGCCGGAGGGAAACCGAGUCUUAAUUGGGCGUUAAGUUGCAGGGUAUAGACCCGAAACCCGGUGAUCUAGCCAUGGGCAGGUUGAAGGUUGGGUAACACUAACUGGAGGACCGAACCGACUAAUGUUGAAAAAUUAGCGGAUGACCUGUGGCUGGGGGUGAAAGGCCAAUCAAACCGGGAGAUAGCUGGUUCUCCCCGAAAGCUAUUUAGGUAGCGCCUCGUGAAUUCAUCUCCGGGGGUAGAGCACUGUUUCGGCUAGGGGGCCAUCCCGGCUUACCAACCCGAUGCAAACUGCGAAUACCGGAGAAUGUUAUCACGGGAGACACACGGCGGGUGCUAACGUCCGUCGUGAAGAGGGAAACAACCCAGACCGCCAGCUAAGGUCCCAAAGUCAUGGUUAAGUGGGAAACGAUGUGGGAAGGCCCAGACAGCCAGGAUGUUGGCUUAGAAGCAGCCAUCAUUUAAAGAAAGCGUAAUAGCUCACUGGUCGAGUCGGCCUGCGCGGAAGAUGUAACGGGGCUAAACCAUGCACCGAAGCUGCGGCAGCGAACGUAUCACCCAAGACAACUUUACGGAGUUGACGAUUGACGGAGCGAAGCGACGUCAAAGCGUUCAUUAAAGUCGAGUUGGCUUAGGGAUACGUUCGUUGGGUAGGGGAGCGUUCUGUAAGCCUGUGAAGGUGUGUCGUGAGGCAUGCUGGAGGUAUCAGAAGUGCGAAUGCUGACAUAAGUAACGAUAAAGCGGGUGAAAAGCCCGCUCGCCGGAAGACCAAGGGUUCCUGUCCAACGUUAAUCGGGGCAGGGUGAGUCGACCCCUAAGGCGAGGCCGAAAGGCGUAGUCGAUGGGAAACGGGUUAAUAUUCCCGUACUUGGUGUUACUGCGAAGGGGGGACGGAGAAGGCUAUGUUGGCCGGGCGACGGUUGUCCCGGUUUAAGCGUGUAGGUGUGUGUUCCAGGUAAAUCCGGUUCACUUUAACACUGAGGCGUGACGACGAGGCACUACGGUGCUGAAGCAACAAAUGCCCUGCUUCCAGGAAAAGCCUCUAAGCAUCAGGUAACAUCAAAUCGUACCCCAAACCGACACAGGUGGUCAGGUAGAGAAUACCAAGGCGCUUGAGAGAACUCGGGUGAAGGAACUAGGCAAAAUGGUGCCGUAACUUCGGGAGAAGGCACGCUGACACGUAGGUGAAGUGAUUUACUCAUGGAGCUGAAGUCAGUCGAAGAUACCAGCUGGCUGCAACUGUUUAUUAAAAACACAGCACUGUGCAAACACGAAAGUGGACGUAUACGGUGUGACGCCUGCCCGGUGCCGGAAGGUUAAUUGAUGGGGUCAGCGCAAGCGAAGCUCCUGAUCGAAGCCCCGGUAAACGGCGGCCGUAACUAUAACGGUCCUAAGGUAGCGAAAUUCCUUGUCGGGUAAGUUCCGACCUGCACGAAUGGCGUAAUGAUGGCCAGGCUGUCUCCACCCGAGACUCAGUGAAAUUGAACUCGCUGUGAAGAUGCAGUGUACCCGCGGCAAGACGGAAAGACCCCGUGAACCUUUACUAUAGCUUGACACUGAACAUUGAGCCUUGAUGUGUAGGAUAGGUGGGAGGCUUUGAAGUGUGGACGCCAGUCUGCAUGGAGCCGACCUUGAAAUACCACCCUUUAAUGUUUGAUGUUCUAACGUGGACCCGUUACCCGGGUUGCGGACAGUGUCUGGUGGGUAGUUUGACUGGGGCGGUCUCCUCCUAAAGAGUAACGGAGGAGCACGAAGGUUGGCUAAUCCUGGUCGGACAUCAGGAGGUUAGUGCAAUGGCAUAAGCCAGCUUGACUGCGAGCGUGACGGCGCGAGCAGGUGCGAAAGCAGGUCAUAGUGAUCCGGUGGUUCUGAAUGGAAGGGCCAUCGCUCAACGGAUAAAAGGUACUCCGGGGAUAACAGGCUGAUACCGCCCAAGAGUUCAUAUCGACGGCGGUGUUUGGCACCUCGAUGUCGGCUCAUCACAUCCUGGGGCUGAAGUAGGUCCCAAGGGUAUGGCUGUUCGCCAUUUAAAGUGGUACGCGAGCUGGGUUUAGAACGUCGUGAGACAGUUCGGUCCCUAUCUGCCGUGGGCGCUGGAGAACUGAGGGGGGCUGCUCCUAGUACGAGAGGACCGGAGUGGACGCAUCACUGGUGUUCGGGUUGUCAUGCCAAUGGCACUGCCCGGUAGCUAAAUGCGGAAGAGAUAAGUGCUGAAAGCAUCUAAGCACGAAACUUGCCCCGAGAUGAGUUCUCCCUGAGACUUAAAGUCUCCUGAAGGAACGUUGAAGACGACGACGUUGAUAGGCCGGGUGUGUAAGCGCAGCGAUGCGUUGAGCUAACCGGUACUAAUGAACCGUGAGGCUUAACCUU
Molecule: ribosomal RNA, 2993 nt
Filed under: Salmonella enterica subsp. enterica
Lineage: Bacteria; Pseudomonadati; Pseudomonadota; Gammaproteobacteria; Enterobacterales; Enterobacteriaceae
Description: 23S ribosomal RNA
Rfam family: Bacterial large subunit ribosomal RNA
Source: RNAcentral